Molecule: long non-coding RNA, 1297 nt
Organism: Homo sapiens (human)
Lineage: Eukaryota; Metazoa; Chordata; Mammalia; Primates; Hominidae
Product: long intergenic non-protein coding RNA 1584
Source: Ensembl
GACUGUGUAACUCCUAGUUGAGUGUGAAGACCUGAGGUAUCAGGGGUAGGGGUUGCUCUGCUUGUGUAAGUCCCAUAGUGUGAAGGCCAGAGAACCAAGAGAUGGUCAAGAAGAGAGAGUAAGUGUCCAAUGUCCCAGCUCAAGAAGAGAGAUCCAUCCAUCAAAGGAGAGAAAUCAAAGGCCAAGAGGUAAAGAGAGAAGGUCAUGGAAUCCUCCCAAACUUACAGUCUGACUUCUAGGGACCUCAAAAACAGGAGACGCUCAGGACCAACCGGGGCAUUGGCCUGAGCCCAGCUGCCUCCAGGCAAUUCUCCUCCUGCCCUGAUGGCUUUCAAAAGAGAAAUGCCUGGCAAGACCAACCCCGCCUCUUCCUUCUCCUUCUCGACCUACUCAAAGUAAAGAUGAGGAUGAAGACCCUUAAGAUGAUCCACUCCCACUUAAUGAAUAGAGCAUCACGACCUGUGCAGACUCCCCAGCAUCAUAACAGGAAGGUCCCACGAUCACGAGCACAUUGCCUUCAGCAUCCAGCACUGAAUAUGGUGAAUUGCACUCUGAAGAGCUUCCUAAGCUUGUAAGAAAGUGAUUCUGAAAAGCUCAACAUUUUGGUAGAAUGGAGAGAUUUGACAUUGCUUCUGCUCCAAAAGCAAAAGACUUGGGAAGGGCACCCUGGGAGUUGAGAACAUCCACCACAGAGAGGCCUGGCGUAAAGGAGAUGGGACUCACACCCAAGAGGAUGCAUUUCCAUACACCCAUUUCUGAAAUAUGAAGAGGUGUCCAGUCUGUUUGAUUCAUAGCUGCCUGUUCCACAACUGCAGAUACAGUAAUUGAUAACCGAGACCAAGUUCUCAUCCCCAUCUCCCAGGGCUGGAACUGGGGCUGUGUUUGGUUCUCAUAAGAUCAGUUCCAGUUUUAGAAACUGAGUAAAUUGUGGAGUAAAUAUUGCCAAGUGAUGGCUUUCUGCUGUAGGCGUGGGUCGCUGUUGGCCAUUUGCCUCAGCAUAUCACCAGCAAUGCACCUCAUUGCAUCACUGCAUUUCCAAUUACACCUCAAAGCACCACUGGUCCCCUGUCCACCCUCUGCCCUGCAGAGGUGGGUGUUCAGGGAGACAGAUCCAAAAUCUGGGCUCAGAAGAUGGAAAUGCCAACUGCUCUCAAUUUGAGAGUGGGGAUGAGACUUUUUGACUCAACUCUGGUUAAUUCAGCCAUGCUGUCAGAGCUGCUUUGAUGCAAGGACAUCUGAAUGCUAUCUGAAUGCUGCCCCUAAAAUAACAAAUUAAAAACAACAACAACAACAAAAA